CUGGUGAUUCAUAAUAACUUAACGAAUCGCAUUGGCCUUGUGCGGGCGAUGGUUCAUUCAAAUUUCUGCCCUAUCAACUUUCGAUUGUAGAGUAGUGGUCUACAAUGGUUUCAACGGGUAACGGGGAAUUAGGGUUCUAUUCCGGAGAGGGAGCCUGAGAAACGGUACCACAUCCAAGGAAGGCAGCAGGCGCGCAAAUUACCCAAUCCCGACACGGGGAGGUAGUGACAAUAAAUACUGAUACAGGGCUCUUUUGGGUCUUGUAAUUGGAAUGAGUACAAUUUAAAUCCCUUAACGAGGAACAAUUGGAGGGCAAGUCUGGUGCCAGCAGCCGCGGUAAUUCCAGCUCCAAUAGCGUAUAUUAAAGUUGUUGCAGUUAAAAAGCUCGUAGUUGAACCUUGGGCCUGGCUGGCCGGUCCGCCUCACCGCGUGCACUGGUCCGGCCGGGUCUUUCCUUCUGAGGAGCCGCAUGCCCUUCACUGGGUGUGUCGGGGAAUCAGGACUUUUACUUUGAAAAAAUUAGAGUGUUCAAAGCAGGCCUAUGCUCGAAUACAUUAGCAUGGAAUAAUAGAAUAGGACGUGUGGUUCUAUUUUGUUGGUUUCUAGGACCGCCGUAAUGAUUAAUAGGGACGGUCGGGGGCAUCAGUAUUCAGUUGCUAGAGGGUGAAC
RNAcentral lists this ribosomal RNA (669 nucleotides) under uncultured fungus. RNAcentral's name for it is "SSU rRNA". It matches the Rfam family "Eukaryotic small subunit ribosomal RNA", at positions 243 to 917 of the family's 1831-position model. Lineage: Eukaryota; Fungi. The record is from RNAcentral.